GUCAUAUCUGACGGAUAUCUCGCUCGGGAGUCUCUCCACUUGGCAGCUCCUGCAGCAUGCCCGCCGGGCUCAGUGCCUCCCUAGCUCUGUUCUUUCCCCCAUGACCUCCGUCCACAGCCGCUCCCCCUCUAGUCUGGGAGCACUCUGAGGGUAGUAAGAGUGCUGUGUGUGUCUCUGCAUUUGGCACAUGAAAGAACAAGACAUGUGCGUAAGUAAAGCAUCUGGGGGAACACAGGACUUAGGUAAGUGAAAGACAGCGUGUGGAUUUGGUAGACAAGUGGGUAGGGUACCGAAGGCUGAGCUAGGACCUUAGAGUCAGAGCUGAAUUUAAUAGAAAGAAGCAUCCCUAACCAUGAGUUGGGAGGCCUGGAGGAAGGUAAUGAGCUCACCAUCCCUCAAGGUAUCUGAACAGAGAUGAGCUGAUGGGCCACUUGAAGAUGCUGGAAAGAGGGGAGCUUUACUGGGUGACAGGUUGCGCUGGAUGGUUACAUGUUCCCUCCGCUUCCGUCAUAUCACUGAUUUGUGUUCCGUAGAGCGAGAUUGAACAAACCGCUAACCCAGGCCAUAGAGGCAUUCAGGUGGUUGGGAGCUGGGCCUGUGCCUCCAGGCAGACCUGAUUUUGAAUCUGGGCUCUACCACUUUGCUGCGCCAAAGUGGGCAAGAUCCUCACCCUCUCUGAGCACAAGUGACUUAGUGUCUAUGGCCCUGGAAUGCUUUCUUCACUUCUUCCCCGCAGGGCUCUGACCCACGCAGCAGAGACAAAGGCUACCUCCGAAAUGGACAGCAGGCACUCAGUGACAGCUAGCAGUGAAGUCUUUUCAAGAUGUAAAUCCCUGCGAAGUUUGCCAGAAUCUAGUCGACACCCCCCGUGUGCUUUCAUCCACUGCCGAUUCUUUGCCAUUUCGAACCUCAUGGACACCAGAAGGAAGAGCUAGCGGCUGUCCCAUGAAGUCCACACAGGAACUAAUUCUACUGCCAGAGAAGGAAAUCUUCCCUGUCCCCACUCAGAAGACACUAUGGAUUGCAGUAGACCAUCAUCUGCUGGGUGUUUCAUAGCCUUUAAUUUUCAGAAUGGUCGUUUGGGUGUGUGUGGGGGGGGGAUUAUAUUGUUCCUACGCCACUGACGUGUAUUUAAAUGAGAGUUCGACUUUUAUUUUGUAAGUUGCACCGACAUCUGGAGCUGGUGGAUGGUUAUAGACCUUGAGUGGGGUGCAGUGAGAUUUGGGGGUUCUCUACUGGGCACAGGUGAGUGUGUUCUAUAUAUGGAAAGAAGGAUGUAUAUAGGGUGACCAUGGGACAUACUGCCCGAACUGGAACACUUCUGUAUAUUAUCUCUUCAUAUAUUAAUGUAAGUAUGCACGCAUGUUUAUUUUAAUCGUGUUAUUGAGGUAUACUCGGCAAAUCAAAAAAUUGCACAUAUUUCAGUAUACAGACUGAAGAGUUUUGAUGUUUGCGUAUGUCCAUGAAACUGUCUCCACGAUGAAGAUAAGAAACAUAUCUGUUCCCCUUCCCAAAACUCCUUGUGUCCCUUGGUAAACUUUCUCUCCUGUCUCUACCUGUACCCCACCUCUCCAGGCAACUACCCAUCUAUCUCUGUCACCAUUUGUGAGCCUGCAUUUUUUAGAAUAUUAUGUAAAUUUUACAUAGAUCUAUAUAUAAACACUAUACUCUUUUUUGUCUGGCUUCUUUCAUGCAGCAUAAUUGAGAUUCAUUUUUGUUGUAUUCUCAGCAGUUUAUUCCUUUAUAUUGCUGAGCAGUGUUUUUUUCUUACUUUUUUUUCAUUUAAAUUCAAUUAAUUAACAUAUAAUGUAUUAUUGGCUUCAGAGGUUGAGAGCAGUGACUCAUCAGUCUUGUAUAAUACUCAGUGCUCGUUAUAUACAUCACGUGCCCUCCUCAAUGCCCAUCCCCCAGUGACCCCAUCCCCCACCCCUCCAGCAACCCUCAGUUUGUUUCCUGUGAUUAAGAGUCUCUUGUGGUUUCUCUGAUUUUGUCUUGUUUUAUUUUUUCCUCUCUCCCCCUAUCAUCCUGUUUUGUUUCUUAAAUUCCACAUAUGAAUGAGAUCAUAUGAUCAUUGUUUUUCUUUGAUUGAUUUACUUCGCUUAGCAUAAUACCCUCUACUUCCAUUCACUCCAUUGCAAAUAGCAAGAUUUCCUAUUUUUUUGGAUGGCUGAGUCCAGCUGAGUCGCGUUCUACUGUGCGGCUGUACCACAGUUUAUCCAGUCACCUGCUGGGGUACCAUCCUCCUGUCCAGUUUCCACAGUAAAGCUGCUCUGAAUAGUCAGUAUUUGUAUGGACAUUUAUUCCUUCUUUUCUCUUUGUAAAUACCUCAAGUUUUGGUUUUUCCCUUUUCUUUUGUUAUGGUAAAAUAUACAUAUCAAAAAAUUCACCAUUUUAAUCAUUUUUAAGUGUUUGGUGGCAUUAAGUACAUUCACAUUAUUGUGCUCUUGUAGCCAUUCCCAUAAUUUUUCAUCAUCCCAAAUAGAAACUCUGUACCCUUGGGCACCUGGGUGGCUCAGUGGGUUAAAGCCUCUGCCUUUGGGUGCCUGGGUGGCUCGGUGGGUUAAGCCGCUGCCUUUGGCUCAGGUCAUGAUCUCGGGGUCCUGGGAUCGAGUCCGGCAUCGGGCUCUCUGCUCAGCAGGGAGCCUGCUUCUCUCUCUCUCUCUCUCUCUCUCUCUGCCUGCCUCUCCGUUUACUUGUGAUCUCUCUCUCUCUCUGUGUCAAAUAAAUAAAUAAAUAAAGCCUCUGCCUUUGGCUCAGGUCAUGAUCCCAGGGUCCUGGGAUGGAGCCCAGAAUCACUCUAUGGGGUUCUCUGCUCAGCAGGGAGCCUGCUUUCCUUCCUCUGUCUCUGCCUGCCUCACUGCCUACUUGUGAUCUCUGUUUGUCAAAUAAAUAAAAUCUUAAACAAACAAACCUCUGUACCCAUUAAAUACAAGCAG
Molecule: long non-coding RNA, 2936 nt
Filed under: Mustela putorius furo (domestic ferret)
Lineage: Eukaryota; Metazoa; Chordata; Mammalia; Carnivora; Mustelidae
Description: lncRNA (ENSMPUG00000025486.1)
Source: RNAcentral